AUCAUUACUUUUUCAAUUUGUUUUCCCUCAAUUUUCUCAUCUCUUGAGUUCUUUCUGAACCCUAAUUCGUUCCUCCUGAUUUGUUUUCUUCUUUUGUUCUUCCCUUUUUCAUCACCGGAGCAUUACUUCCUUCUUUUUCAGAACACAAUUAAUUCUAAAGUGCCAACGAUUAUGGAAUUGUAUCGGGAUAACUUGCGGGUCUCUCAUGGUGGAAAUUGGUAGCCUACUUCAUGGAUUGUAACAUUUGAGAGGAGCCACCCUUAUUGGUGUUUUUCAGUAGAUAUAUCAGGUGAAGGUCAUCACUCAAGGUGCCUCAGCUAGAAUGGUUCAUUCUCGUGCCCGCAUGGGUUGCGAGCCCAUUGUCAAGAUGGUAAGGAGGAAACUUGAAGAUGGUUUCGACUUCCCAACCAAGUGGUCCAUCCCUCGAGAAACCACCUGUCUCUAGUGGCAAGUAUGUGAUUCUAAAAUUGCCAUAAAGCAAUACAAUCUAUUGAAAUUGGGUCGUACUCUGGAGUUGGAAAAGCUUUUAAUAGCUAGGAACAUAUUCCGAUACCGUUUAGACGGGAAAAGCCCUAAUGGUUGUCAGGUAGCUGACCGGAUGUUUGGUACGGAUACCAGAAGAGUAAUAUCCACCAAAGAAACAUGGCCUUAUGAGGCCAAUAAUGACUUAGCCUUGAUGUUGGUACGGAGGAAGAGGGAACCCACCAACUUCUUUUACAUCGUCUGUAAUAUGCAUCCAUACAGUUGGUCUUCCUCACCAACGGGUGAUAAAGGUAAGUCAUCGAGUAAAGCUUUAGUUCCCAAUUGGCCUGACAUCAUUUUUGUUGUUGCAUGCUCUUCCAGUUUCUCUAAUUCUUCCAGUCCCAACAUAGUGUGAACAUAGACACUUUGAUGAACAGUGUACGAGAGAGUGAAAAGGUGGUUCCCUUAAGGGUAAGGGCCAACCGUGGUGGCCACAAGAGGCCAAGGGUGGAAGAAGGGCCCCAUAGUGCUGAAGACAGUAGUAGGGGUAGGCUGAUACCUUGUAAACAUGGAAAGGAACUAGCGGUUCCUCAAAGAGAAAAUUCUCCUCCAACUGUCCCUACCAUACCUGAAUCUUCCAUCAUAGCUGCCAAUCCUGCGGAUCUUCCUACCCCAAUUUCAGUGUCUUCUCUUGUAGGGUCAAGCUUUGGUACUAGUCAUAUUAUUAUGCACACCUCUCAUUUUUUUCUCCAUCAACUUUACUUCUCCUGGGAGGUAAUACCUUCUUUAUCUGGUGGAAUCACCUUAAUGCGGGGCCAUAUCCUUUUUCUCCAUCCUCUGUCAAAUAAAGGUAAGAUAAGGAUUUGCCCUAAGGGUUAAAAGAGUUUGUCUACCCUUCUUUCUCCUCUUCUAAUGUUCAUAAGCCUUCGCUAGCAGGAUUGGUGGGUUCAUUUUAGUUGAUGGCAGCAGAGUGUGGACUUCUUGGCUAGGCCCUCUAGGAAACCUAUAAUGAACACGAGGCUAAACGGGUAGAAUUUGAGAAGACCAUUCAUUCUGGUGAACAAACAAUUAUCUAGCUUCGCCAACUAAAUGGGGCAACUGUUCGCCAAAACCAAGAGCUCAUUGACUCUGUCUACACCUGAGAGACUAAGUACAAAUCCUUGGAGGCCAGGGAGAAAGAUUUGGAAAGGAGGGCCCGCCUAUAUGAAGUGAAGGAAGUUGUAUGAGAGGGGAAGAUGAAAGCCCUUGAGGAACAACACCUCACGGAUCUGGAGCAGUUGUGGAACGAAAGCAACGAGGCCCUAAAGAACUUCAAAAUAGAUACCAAGGCCAAUAUGAAAGAAUAUUUGCGCAAUUUUAAUUCCAACCUUAUUUUUCAUGCUCAAGUCAUCGUGGGUCCUUUUGAAAUGAGUCAGGUGGACUUUAAUUGCAUGCAAAUAUUUAUCAAUGUGGACCUCAACUUUGAUAUUCUCUACCCUUUAGGAGUGAAAUGAGAAGAAUUCCAAAAAGAAUGGAAAGAGUCAGGCAAACUCUUUCUUCUCCUAGAACCCGAGGUGACUAAUCCUGCUCCCAUUAAAGACAUUUGCCACAAAGAAGAAGCCCUGGAGGAUAUCACCACUCUUGCCCCACCAGUCAAGGAAGGGAAGUAAAAUUUUCUUGUAAUUGUACUUGCCUCUCUUCCAAUUCCUGUCAUCAAUAAAAUUUUUAACUCUUCUAUUAA
This is a long non-coding RNA of Gossypium raimondii (Peruvian cotton), 2182 nucleotides long. RefSeq lists it as uncharacterized. The transcript is spliced from 2 exons. NCBI's taxonomy places the organism in Eukaryota, Viridiplantae, Streptophyta, Magnoliopsida, Malvales, Malvaceae. The record is from RefSeq and is a predicted model, not a curated record.